RNAcentral lists this ribosomal RNA (472 nucleotides) under uncultured bacterium. RNAcentral's name for it is "bacterial SSU rRNA". It matches the Rfam family "Bacterial small subunit ribosomal RNA", at positions 327 to 793 of the family's 1533-position model. The record is from RNAcentral.
CAGUACAACUCCUACGGGAGGCAGCAGUGGGGAAUAUUGCACAAUGGGCGAAAGCCUGAUGCAGCCAUGCCGCGUGUGUGAAGAAGGCCUUCGGGUUGUAAAGCACUUUCAGCGAGGAGGAAAGGUUGACGGUUAAUACCCGUCAGCUGUGACGUUACUCGCAGAAGAAGCACCGGCUAACUCCGUGCCAGCAGCCGCGGUAAUACGGAGGGUGCGGGCGUUAAUCGGAAUUACUGGGCGUAAAGCGCAUGCAGGCGGCCAAGUCAGUCAGAUGUGAAAGCCCCCGGCUUAACCUGGGAAUUGCAUUUGAAACUGCUUGGCUAGAGUCCUUGAGAGGGGGUAGAAUUUCAGGUGUAGCGGUGAAAUGCGUAGAGAUCUGAAGGAAUACCAGUGGCGAAGGCGGCCCCCUGGCAAGAGACUGACGCUCAGAUGCGAAAGCGUGGGGAGCAAACAGGAUUAGAUACCCUGGUAG